GAUGAACGCUGGCGGCGUGCCUAAUACAUGCAAGUAGAACGCUGAAGGAAGGAGCUUGCUCUUUCCGGAUGAGUUGCGAACGGGUGAGUAACGCGUAGGUACCUGCCUGGUAGCGGGGGAUAACUAUUGGAAACGAUAGCUAAUACCGCAUAACAGUAGAUGUUGCAUGAUAUCUACUUAAAAGGUGCAAUUGCACCACUACCAGAUGGACCUGCGUUGUAUUAGCUAGUUGGUGAGGUAACGGCUCACCAAGGCGACGAUACAUAGCCGACCUGAGAGGGUGAUCGGCCACACUGGGACUGAGACACGGCCCAGACUCCUACGGGAGGCAGCAGUAGGGAAUCUUCGGCAAUGGACGGAAGGCUGACCGAGCAACGCCGCGUGAGUGAAGAAGGUUGUCGGAUCGUAAAGCUCUGUUGUAAGAGAAGAACGAGGGUGAGAGUGGAAAGUUCACACUGUGACGGUAUCUUACCAGAAAGGGACGGCUAACUACGUG
Molecule: ribosomal RNA, 496 nt
Filed under: uncultured bacterium
Lineage: Bacteria
Description: partial 16S ribosomal RNA
Rfam family: Bacterial small subunit ribosomal RNA
Source: RNAcentral